UCUGGCCUUGACUUGACUCUUU
Molecule: microRNA, 22 nt
Filed under: Homo sapiens (human)
Lineage: Eukaryota; Metazoa; Chordata; Mammalia; Primates; Hominidae
Description: hsa-miR-3922-3p
Source: miRBase by way of RNAcentral